This 162-nucleotide ribosomal RNA is filed under the name Portulaca oligosperma. Its description in RNAcentral is "5.8S ribosomal RNA". It matches the Rfam family "5.8S ribosomal RNA". Rfam says of the family: 5.8S ribosomal RNA (5.8S rRNA) is a component of the large subunit of the eukaryotic ribosome. It is transcribed by RNA polymerase I as part of the 45S precursor that also contains 18S and 28S rRNA. Lineage: Eukaryota; Viridiplantae; Streptophyta; Magnoliopsida; Caryophyllales; Portulacaceae. The record is from RNAcentral.
AACGACUCUCGGCAACGGAUAUCUCGGCUCUCGCAUCGAUGAAGAACGUAGCGAAAUGCGAUACUUGGUGUGAAUUGCAGAAUCCCGUGAACCAUCGAGUCUUUGAACGCAAGUUGCGCCCGAAGCCUUUCGGCCGAGGGCACGUCUGCCUGGGCGUCACGC